This 440-nucleotide ribosomal RNA is filed under the name uncultured bacterium. RNAcentral describes it as "partial 16S ribosomal RNA". It matches the Rfam family "Bacterial small subunit ribosomal RNA", at positions 338 to 795 of the family's 1533-position model. The record is from RNAcentral.
CCUACGGUGCGCAGCAGUGGGGAAUAUUGCACAAUGGGGGCACCCCUGAUGCAGCGACGCCGCGUGAGCGAUGAAGUAUUUCGGUAUGUAACGCUCUAUCAGCCGGUAAGAAAAUGACGGUACCUGACUACGAAGCCCCGGCUAACUACGUGCCAGCCGCCGCGGUAAUACGUAGGGGUCAAGCGUUAUCCGGAUUUACUGGGUGUAAAGGGAGCGUAGACGGCUUGGCAAGCCAGAUGUGAAAGGCUGGGGCUCAACCCCAGGACUGCAUUUGGCCCUGUCAUGCUAGAGUGUCGGAGAGGCAGGCGGAAUGCCUAGUGGAGCGGUGAAAUGCGUAGAUAUUAGGAGGAACACCAGUGGGGAAGGCGGCCUGCUGGACGAUGACUGACGUUGAGGCUCGAAAGCGUGGGGAGCAAACAGGAUUAGAUACCCCAGUAGUC